CCUGAUCCAGCAAUGCCGCGUGAGUGAUGAAGGCCUUCGGGUUGUAAAGCUCUUUCGCACGCGACGAUGAUGACGGUAGCGUGAGAAGAAGCCCCGGCUAACUUCGUGCCAGCAGCCGCGGUAAUACGAAGGGGGCUAGCGUUGUUCGGAAUUACUGGGCGUAAAGGGCGCGUAGGCGGUGGAUCAAGUCAGGCGUGAAAGCCCCGGGCUCAACCUGGGAACCGCGCUUGAGACUGGUGCGCUAGAGUUCGGGAGAGGAUGGUGGAAUUCCCAGUGUAGAGGUGGAAUUCGUAGAUAUUGGGAAGAACACCGAUGGCGAAGGCAGCCAUCUGGACCGACACUGACGCUGAGGCGCGAAAGCGUGGGGAGCAAACAGGAUUAGAUACCCUGGUAGUCCACGCCGUAAACGAUGAGUGCUAGACGUCGGGGCCCUCAGGGCUUCGGUGUCGCAGCUAACGCAUUAAGCACUCCGCCUGGGGAGUACGGCCGCAAGGUUA
This 497-nucleotide ribosomal RNA is filed under the name uncultured Pseudomonadota bacterium. RNAcentral's name for it is "bacterial SSU rRNA". It matches the Rfam family "Bacterial small subunit ribosomal RNA", at positions 382 to 896 of the family's 1533-position model. The record is from RNAcentral. Lineage: Bacteria; Pseudomonadati; Pseudomonadota.